RNAcentral lists this ribosomal RNA (1458 nucleotides) under Triticum aestivum (bread wheat). RNAcentral's name for it is "partial small subunit ribosomal RNA". Lineage: Eukaryota; Viridiplantae; Streptophyta; Magnoliopsida; Poales; Poaceae. The record is from RNAcentral.
AUGAGUUCUCAUCUUCAACACUUAAGAUUGCUAUACCAUCGUGCUGCCAACACCCUCAUCCUGCGAAUUGCCAUUGCAACUACACUCGCUGGUGCCGUUCUCACAAAGGUUACACAAGGGGUUGUCUCUGCACACCAGAUUGUGCCUCAAUCCAGUGCUAUCUGUCCCAUCCACCUAUUCCUCGUCGUCGUUCUUUUCAUCGUCACAGCAACAUUCUACCUUGCACUCCGUCCUAGAACUGUAUACCUCGUUGACUAUGCUUGCUUUGUGGCAAGCUCCAAGUUUAGAUACCCAAAGGCAACCUUGCUUGAGCAUGCACAUCUCUCGCCUUUGCUAGAUGAUUCUACUACCAACUUCAUAGCUACUAUUCUGGAGCGCUCAGGCAUGAGCGACCAGACAUAUGUACCACCUAUACUUUCCUAUAUAGAGCCAUAUUGUGGGCUUGAUGAAGCACGCGCGGAAGCAGAGUUGAUCAUGUUCCCGGUCAUUGAUGAACUUUUUGCCAAGACAUGCAUCAACCGUGAUGCGAUCCGUGUUCUUAUCACUAACAGCAGUGGGUUUAGCCCAGUACCAUCCAACGCUGACAUGAUUGUGAACAGAUACAAGUUGCGAAGUGAUAUCCGCCUCAUGAACCUUUCAGGGAUGGCGUGUACUGCGUCAGUGACUGCGGUGGGAAUUGCGAGCAACAUGCUGCAGGUCAUACCUUGGGGGUCAUACGCAUUGGUGGUAUCUACGGAGAUCAUUGGACCAUUAUACUAUGCAGGAAAUAUGCGUUCCAUGCAGUUGUCUAACAUAUUGUUUCGUAUGGGCAGUGCCGCCAAGCUCUUGUCGACUUCUAGGUCCAAGGCUCGAUUUCGGCUUGAGCAUUUGGCCCGGACGAUCACUGCAGCAAAUGAUGCUGCCUACCGGUGUGUUUAUCAAGAGGAAGAUGAGAAGGGAAACUUUGGGACUGCUCUCUCUAAAGACCUUAUGGGUGUCGCUGGAGAUGCACUGAAAGCAAAUAUCACGGUAACCGGACCUCUUGUCCUACCGGGGUCAGAGCUUCUCAGAGUUUUGCUCUAUCGCAUGGCAAAAAAGGUGAUCGGCUCAAGGAGGGCGAGACAAUCCAUCCCCAACUUUUGUCUUGCAUUUGAGCAUUUCUGCAUCCAUGUUGGUGGACCAGCGGUUAUCACCUCAGUACAACAUGGACUCAAUCUAUCAGAUAAGAACGUUGAGGCAUCGCGAAUGACGCUACAUCGAUUUGGAAACCAGUUGAGUGCAUCGGUGUGGUAUGAGUUGGCAUACAUCGAAGCUAAAGGCCAGAUGAAGAAAGGCAAUAGGGUGUGGAUGAUUGGGUUUGGUGCAGGGUACGAAUGCAACACUAUUGGGUGGAUGUGUAUACAACCAUCUUCUGGUGCACAUGGACCCUGGGCUAGCUGCAUCCAUCGUUACCCAGUGGAUGUCUCCAACAAAGUUUAA